GGACCCGACUGCUAUCAGAGUGGGAAUAAGCCCUGCGAGUCAACAUAGCAAUAUGUGGCAUACGGCUCAGUAACACGUAGUCAACAUGCCCAGGGGACGUGGAUAACCUUGGGAAACUGAGGAUGAACCGCGAUAGGUCAUCACUUUUGGAAUGGGUAAUGACUUAAACCUAUAUGGCCCCUGGAUUGGACUGCGGCCGAUCGGGCUGUUGGUGAGGUAAUGGCCCCCCAAACCUGUAACCGGUACGGGCUUUGAGAGGAGGAGCCUGGAGAUGGGCACUGAGACAAGGGCCCCGGCCCUAUGGGGCGCAGCAGGCGCGAAACCUUUGCAAUAGGCGAAAGCUUGACAGGGUUACUUUGAGUGAUUUCCGUUAAGGAGAUCUUUUGGCACCUCUUAAAAAAGGGCAGAAUAAGGGGUGGGCAAGUUUGGUGU
Molecule: ribosomal RNA, 432 nt
Filed under: uncultured archaeon
Lineage: Archaea
Description: bacterial SSU rRNA
Rfam family: Archaeal small subunit ribosomal RNA
Source: RNAcentral